RNAcentral lists this ribosomal RNA (468 nucleotides) under uncultured bacterium. RNAcentral's name for it is "partial 16S ribosomal RNA". It matches the Rfam family "Bacterial small subunit ribosomal RNA", at positions 28 to 507 of the family's 1533-position model. The record is from RNAcentral.
GACGAACGCUGGCGGCGUGCUUAACACAUGCAAGUCGAACGGAAAGGCCCUGCUUUUGUGGGGUGCUCGAGUGGCGAACGGGUGAGUAACACGUGAGUAACCUGCCCUUGACUCUGGGAUAACUUCAGGAAACUGCGGCUAAUACCGGAUAGGAGCUCCUGCUGCAUGGUGGGGGUUGGAAAGUUUCGGCGGUUGGGGAUGGACUCGCGGCUUAUCAGCUUGUUGGUGGGGUAGUGGCUUACCAAGGCUUUGACGGGUAGCCGGCCUGAGAGGGUGACCGGCCACAUUGGGACUGAGAUACGGCCCAGACUCCUACGGGAGGCAGCAGUGGGGAAUAUUGCACAAUGGGCGGAAGCCUGAUGCAGCAACGCCGCGUGCGGGAUAACGGCCUUCGGGUUGUAAACCGCUUUCGCCUGUGACGAAGCGUGAGUGACGGUAAUGGGUAAAGAAGCACCGGCUAACUACGUG